AUUGAACGCUGGCGGCAGGCUUAACACAUGCAAGUCGAGCGGGGAAGGGUAGCUUGCUACCUGACCUAGCGGCGGACGGGUGAGUAAUGCUUAGGAAUCUGCCUAUUAGUGGGGGACAACAUUCCGAAAGGAAUGCUAAUACCGCAUACGCCCUACGGGGGAAAGCAGGGGAUCUUCGGACCUUGCGCUAAUAGAUGAGCCUAAGUCAGAUUAGCUAGUUGGUGGGGUAAAGGCCUACCAAGGCGACGAUCUGUAGCGGGUCUGAGAGGAUGAUCCGCCACACUGGGACUGAGACACGGCCCAGACUCCUACGGGAGGCAGCAGUGGGGAAUAUUGGACAAUGGGCGAAAGCCUGAUCCAGCCAUGCCGCGUGUGUGAAGAAGGCCUUUUGGUUGUAAAGCACUUUAAGCGAGGAGGAGGCUACCGAGAUUAAUACUCUUGGAUAGUGGACGUUACUCGCAGAAUAAGCACCGGCUAACUCUGUGCCAGCAGCCGCGGUAA
RNAcentral lists this ribosomal RNA (501 nucleotides) under uncultured bacterium. Its description in RNAcentral is "partial 16S ribosomal RNA". It matches the Rfam family "Bacterial small subunit ribosomal RNA", at positions 30 to 523 of the family's 1533-position model. The record is from RNAcentral.